This 253-nucleotide ribosomal RNA is filed under the name uncultured Chitinophaga sp. Its description in RNAcentral is "partial 16S ribosomal RNA". It matches the Rfam family "Bacterial small subunit ribosomal RNA", at positions 524 to 776 of the family's 1533-position model. Lineage: Bacteria; Pseudomonadati; Bacteroidota; Chitinophagia; Chitinophagales; Chitinophagaceae. The record is from RNAcentral.
UACGGAGGGUGCAAGCGUUAUCCGGAUUCACUGGGUUUAAAGGGUGCGUAGGCGGGUUUGUAAGUCCGUGGUGAAAUCUCCGAGCUUAACUCGGAAACUGCCGUGGAUACUAUAGAUCUUGAAUGUUGUGGAGGUUAGCGGAAUAUGUCAUGUAGCGGUGAAAUGCAUAGAUAUGACAUAGAACACCAAUUGCGAAGGCAGCUGGCUACACAAAUAUUGACGCUGAGGCACGAAAGCGUGGGGAUCAAACAGG